Molecule: ribosomal RNA, 777 nt
Filed under: Gloeoporus africanus
Lineage: Eukaryota; Fungi; Basidiomycota; Agaricomycetes; Polyporales; Irpicaceae
Description: LSU rRNA
Rfam family: Eukaryotic large subunit ribosomal RNA
Source: RNAcentral
CCCCUAGUAACUGCGAGUGAAGCGGGAAAAGCUCAAAUUUAAAAUCUGGCAGUCUUCGAUUGUCCGAGUUGUAGUCUAGAGAAGCAUUUUCCGCGUUGGACCGUGUACAAGUCUCUUGGAAUAGAGCGUCAUAGAGGGUGAGAAUCCCGUCCAUGACACGGACUACCAGUGCUUUGUGAUGUGCUCUCAAAGAGUCGAGUUGUUUGGGAAUGCAGCUCAAAAUGGGUGGUAAAUUCCAUCUAAAGCUAAAUAUUGGCGAGAGACCGAUAGCGAACAAGUACCGUGAGGGAAAGAUGAAAAGCACUUUGGAAAGAGAGUUAAACAGUACGUGAAAUUGCUGAAAGGGAAACGAUUGAAGUCAGUCGCGUUAUUCAGAACUCAGCCUUACCUUGGUAUGGUGCAUUUUCUGUUUAACGGGCCAGCAUCAGUUUUGACCGCUGGAAAAAGGUUAGAGAAAUGUGGCACCUUCGGGUGUGUUAUAGUCUCUGAUUGUAUACAGUGGUUGGGACUGAGGAACUCAGUACACCUUUAUGGUCGGGGUUCGCCCACGUUUGUACUUAGGAUGCUGGCGUAAUGGCUUUAAGCGACCCGUCUUGAAACACGGACCAAGGAGUCUAACAUGCCUGCGAGUGUUUGGGUGGUAAACCCGAGCGCGUAAUGAAAGUGAAAGUUGGGAUCUCUGUCGUGGAGAGCACCGACGCCCGGCCCUGAACUUCUGUGACGGACCUGCGGUAGAGCAUGUAUGUUGGGACCCGAAAGAUGGUGAACUAUGCCUGA